This is a long non-coding RNA of Lepisosteus oculatus (spotted gar), 1458 nucleotides long. RefSeq lists it as uncharacterized. Lineage: Eukaryota; Metazoa; Chordata; Actinopteri; Semionotiformes; Lepisosteidae. The record is from RefSeq and is a predicted model, not a curated record.
UUUUUUCCAUGAGCCUGAAAGUGGAGGCUCUAAAUGAGUUUGUGUUUUUUCAAACUAUUUUUUUUCUUCAAUCCAUUUUUUACAAGACACGCACGCCUAUUCUGAUGCCUACAUGCCCCCUUUCUGAUAUACUGUUCUGAAACAGAGCAAUCUGUUAGGAUGCUGAAGAAGCUGUCUUCUGUUAAAAAUGACAGAAUACAGAAUGUUUUAAUUGAGCAGGCACAAGGUGUAAUUCAGAGAUUUAUAUGUAAUGGUGUUCUAUGUGUUUCUACAGACUACUGACUAUUAGCGAGCAAAGACUCACUUCACCUCAGGCAAUGAUAAUCUGAACCAAGCACAGGCCUCCUGUAUAUGUUAAAUAGAUUGGCCACAUCCACAAAUUCACAAACAUCUGGAGGUUAAAUUAAUGGAAGGUACUGGCCAAUACAAUUCCUCUUUGUUAAUCAGAUAAGGGCAAAAACAAAAGUCAAAAGUACAGAUCCGAGGGACAAUUUUCGCCGCCCUAAACAAAACGACAAAAACCCAGAGGAACGUUAUCAGAUAUCUGAAAAAGACAGGGAUUAAUGUACACCUCGGAAUACUUCUACAAAACAAAGUAGUUCCCAACAGUGAACGGAGAUUACAAAACAGCAAUAUUGUUCAACUCGCCUGAAGUUAAGAGUUUUCGUGGUUCCUUUUUUACUUCGCUCUCUGUGAUUUGCAAGAUACUUAAAACAGGCUGAAGUUCUGAGAAUCUACACAAGAUCAAAAAUACUGCCAUAUUUGGAAUAUGUAAUGAUCUGUCCUGGGUCCACGACCACACUAAACAAGAGUGGGUGUUUUCAGCGUUUGGUAAUACUUUUAAGGGGUCUUCUGCGCAGACAUGAAGCGAUGAGCUCACAGUGCUUUUAUCUUUGUGUUUCCGGCACACCUGCCCUCUGAAGACACAGGUGUGGCUGCCUGUGUUACAUCCUCAGGUGAAGGCGAGUCUUCUGCAGUCUGCAGUGUAAUGACCCAGACAUGUUUGCUUGUCCUGCUCCAUGAAGGUCCCCGCCCGCCCGUCGAACAGCACAAACGACAAAACUCACCGCAAUCAUUAGUGCUGCGUUUGUGCCGGCUUGUGUCGCUUGAACAAGCCGAUCCACCUGGCGCUGCUGGCUUGGACAGCUCUCAGACCCGUGAUUGGCUAAACCCCCGAACAGCUCGGGCCGCGAUUGGGUGAAGAGUGAGAAUCGACACUCUGAUUGGGUAAAGCGCCACAGCGGAAGUUCUGUGUACCGUGUGUGCUGUAUGAGCACGCUGGAUACACAGUAACAGUAACACAUCCAUUGGUUUCCAAUUACUGAUCAAUCUCGCACAAAGUCGCACUGAGGUCAAAACUGAAUAGCAGACAAAGAAUGUCAUGGCAUCCACAGCGCGUUCACGACUCCGAUAGCAUGUCACGAUAGGAGUGCGCGCAUCACGAUCACAUGCCGAUAC